GGGAGUAUAUUUUAAUGGUAAAAUAUUAACCUGUCUCGUUAAAGUUACGAGUUCGAGUCUCGUUAUUCCCG
The sequence is a transfer RNA, 71 nucleotides long. It matches the Rfam family "tRNA". Rfam says of the family: Transfer RNA (tRNA) molecules are approximately 80 nucleotides in length. Their secondary structure includes four short double-helical elements and three loops (D, anti-codon, and T loops).